UACAGAGGGUGCGAGCGUUGUCCGGAAUCACUGGGCGUAAAGGGCGCGUAGGCGGCCCCUUAAGCGUGUGGUGAAAGCGCGGGGCUCAACCCCGCGUCGGCCAUGCGGACUGGGGGGCUGGAGCACGUCAGAGGCAGGCGGAAUUCCGGGUGUAGCGGUGGAAUGCGUAGAGAUCGGAAAGAACACCAACGGCGAAAGCACUCUGCUGGGCCGACACUGACACUGAGAGACGAAAGCUAGGGGAGCGAAUGGG
Molecule: ribosomal RNA, 253 nt
Filed under: uncultured bacterium
Lineage: Bacteria
Description: partial 16S ribosomal RNA
Rfam family: Bacterial small subunit ribosomal RNA
Source: RNAcentral